AUACGUAGGGGGCAAGCGUUAUCCGGAUUUACUGGGUGUAAAGGGAGCGUAGACGGCAAAGUAAGUCUGAAGUGAAAGCCCCGGGCUCAACCCGGGAACUGCUUUGGAAACUAUUUAGCUAGAGUGCAGGAGAGGUAAGUGGAAUUCCUAGUGUAGCGGUGAAAUGCGUAGAUAUUAGGAGGAACACCGGCGGCGAAGGCGGCUUACUGGACUGUAACUGACGUUGAGGCUCGAAAGCGUGGGGAGCAAACAGGAUUAGAUACCCUGGUAGUCCACGCCGUAAACGAUGAUCACUAGGUGUUGGGAGGCAAAGCCUUUCGGUGCCGCAGCUAACGCAAUAAGUGAUCCACCUGGGGAGUACGUUCGCAAGAAUGAAACUCAAAUGAAUGGACGGGG
This 396-nucleotide ribosomal RNA is filed under the name uncultured bacterium. Its description in RNAcentral is "partial 16S ribosomal RNA". It matches the Rfam family "Bacterial small subunit ribosomal RNA", at positions 523 to 918 of the family's 1533-position model. The record is from RNAcentral.